Molecule: ribosomal RNA, 253 nt
Filed under: uncultured bacterium
Lineage: Bacteria
Description: partial 16S ribosomal RNA
Rfam family: Bacterial small subunit ribosomal RNA
Source: RNAcentral
UACGUAGGGUGCAAGCGUUAAUCGGAAUUACUGGGCGUAAAGCGUGCGCAGGCGGUGAUGUAAGACAGUUGUGAAAUCCCCGGGCUCAACCUGGGAACUGCAUCUGUGACUGCAUCGCUGGAGUGCGGCAGAGGGGGAUGGAAUUCCGCGUGUAGCAGUGAAAUGCGUAGAUAUGCGGAGGAACACCGAUGGCGAAGGCAAUCCCCUGGGCCCGCACUGACGCUCAUGCACGAAAGCGUGGGGAGCAAACAGG